CGCCGUCGUUCCCUGCCGCCACGCUCCUCCAGCGCCAGCUGCUUCUAGACGAUUGGCCACUGACGAUCGGGCAGCAGAGCCUCUUCUCCCCCGCGCACUCUCUCUCUCCCUGAUCUCUUUCCUUUUUCUUUUUCUUUCUUUCUUCCUUAAUGCCAUUAAGUCUCUAUACUUUUCUUCUUUACCAUUUAGUCCCUCAACUUUAUUAAUUACUAACAAUUUCACCCUGUAAAAUUUAUAUUUAAUCCUCUAACUUUUCUUUAGUUUUUCAAUUAAGCCCCUAAUACUUAAUUUGAGCCAAAUUAAAAUUGUUGAAAAUAGAGAAUUACUUAUUUACCCUUACUUUUUUAACCGAUGAUCGCGCAACAGAUCCUUUUCUCCCCCGUGCACUCUCUCUCUCCCCGAUCUCCUUCUCUUUUCUUUUUUUUUUCUUUCUUCCUUAAUGCCAUUAAGUCUCCAAACUUUUAUUAUUUACCAUUUAGUCCCUCAACUUUAUUAAUUACUAAUAAUUUCACCCUGUAAAAUUUCUGUUUAAUC
RNAcentral lists this long non-coding RNA (534 nucleotides) under Ricinus communis (castor bean). Its description in RNAcentral is "long non-coding RNA (RCOM_LNC002979)". The record is from RNAcentral. Lineage: Eukaryota; Viridiplantae; Streptophyta; Magnoliopsida; Malpighiales; Euphorbiaceae.